RNAcentral lists this ribosomal RNA (253 nucleotides) under uncultured bacterium. RNAcentral's name for it is "partial 16S ribosomal RNA". It matches the Rfam family "Bacterial small subunit ribosomal RNA", at positions 524 to 776 of the family's 1533-position model. The record is from RNAcentral.
UACGAAGGGGGCUAGCGUUGUUCGGAAUUACUGGGCGUAAAGCGCGCGCAGGCGGCUAUCCAAGUCAGUGGUGAAAGCCCGGAGCUCAACUCCGGAACUGCCAUUGAAACUGUUUAGCUUGAGGAUGAGAGAGGUGAGUGGAAUUCCCAGUGUAGAGGUGAAAUUCGUAGAUAUUGGGAAGAACCCCGGUGGCGAAGGCGGCUCACUGGCUCAUUACUGACGCUCAGGCGCGAUAGCGUGGGGAUCAAACAGG